UACGAGGGGGGCGAGCGUUGUUCGGAAUUAUUGGGCGUAAAGGGUGCGUAGGCGGUUCCGCAAGUCCUGUGUGAAAUCUUCGGGCUCAACUCGAAAUCUGCACGGGAAACUGCGGGGCUUGAGUGUGGGAGAGGUGAGUGGAAUUCCCGGUGUAGCGGUGAAAUGCGUAGAUAUCGAUCGGAACACCCAUGGCGAAGGCAGCUCGCUGGCCUAAAACUGACGCUGAGGCGCGAAAGCGUGGGGAGCAAACAGG
RNAcentral lists this ribosomal RNA (253 nucleotides) under uncultured bacterium. Its description in RNAcentral is "partial 16S ribosomal RNA". It matches the Rfam family "Bacterial small subunit ribosomal RNA", at positions 524 to 776 of the family's 1533-position model. The record is from RNAcentral.